GCUGGGCAUGGUGGCUUAUGCCUGUAAUCCCAGCACUGUGGGAGGCUGAGGCAGGCGGAUCACCUGAGGUCAGGAGUUCAAGACCAGCCUGACCAACAUGGAGAAACCCUGUCUCUA
Molecule: non-coding RNA, 117 nt
Filed under: Homo sapiens (human)
Lineage: Eukaryota; Metazoa; Chordata; Mammalia; Primates; Hominidae
Source: Rfam by way of RNAcentral